Molecule: ribosomal RNA, 253 nt
Filed under: uncultured bacterium
Lineage: Bacteria
Description: partial 16S ribosomal RNA
Rfam family: Bacterial small subunit ribosomal RNA
Source: RNAcentral
UACAGAGGGUGCAAGCGUUGUUCGGAAUUACUGGGCGUAAAGGGCGCGUAGGCGGCCGCCUAAGUCAGACGUGAAAUCCCUCGGCUCAACCGGGGAACUGCGUCUGAUACUGGGUGGCUUGAAUCCGGGAGAGGGAUGCGGAAUUCCAGGUGUAGCGGUGAAAUGCGUAGAUAUCUGGAGGAACACCGGUGGCGAAGGCGGCAUCCUGGACCGGCAUUGACGCUGAGGCGCGAAAGCCAGGGGAGCAAACGGG